CAUUUUUAGGAUUUAUUUAAUUAUUUUAAAUCAACAUUAUCCUGAAUAGUGUUUGCUGACGUCAUCAUAACGUCAACAUGACGAACGAGACCUUAGCCUGCUAACUAGCUAUGCGGAGCCAUCCCUUUGCAGCUAGUUUCUUAGAGGGACUAUCACCGUUUAGGCGACGGAAGUUUGAGGCAAUAACAGGUCUGUGAGGCCCUUAGAU
Triticum aestivum (bread wheat) is the source of this 208-nucleotide non-coding RNA. NCBI's taxonomy places the organism in Eukaryota, Viridiplantae, Streptophyta, Magnoliopsida, Poales, Poaceae. The record is from Rfam.